Molecule: ribosomal RNA, 565 nt
Filed under: Ochrobactrum sp. HPC280
Lineage: Bacteria; Pseudomonadati; Pseudomonadota; Alphaproteobacteria; Hyphomicrobiales; Brucellaceae
Also listed under: 1 other name
Description: bacterial SSU rRNA
Rfam family: Bacterial small subunit ribosomal RNA
Source: RNAcentral
GCGUGGGAACGUACCACUUUGCUACGGAAUAACUCAGGGAAACUUGUGCUAAUACCGUAUGUGCCCUUCGGGGGAAAGAUUUAUCGGCAAAUGAUCGGCCCGCGUUGGAUUAGCUAGUUGGUGGGGUAAAGGCCUACCAAGGCGACGAUCCAUAGCUGGUCUGAGAGGAUGAUCAGCCACACUGGGACUGAGACACGGCCCAGACUCCUACGGGAGGCAGCAGUGGGGAAUAUUGGACAAUGGGCGCAAGCCUGAUCCAGCCAUGCCGCGUGAGUGAUGAAGGCCCUAGGGUUGUAAAGCUCUUUCACCGGUGAAGAUAAUGACGGUAACCGGAGAAGAAGCCCCGGCUAACUUCGUGCCAGCAGCCGCGGUAAUACGAAGGGGGCUAGCGUUGUUCGGAUUUACUGGGCGUAAAGCGCACGUAGGCGGGCUAAUAAGUCAGGGGUGAAAUCCCGGGGCUCAACCCCGGAACUGCCUUUGAUACUGUUAGUCUUGAGUAUGGUAGAGGUGAGUGGAAUUCCGAGUGUAGAGGUGAAAUUCGUAGAUUUUCGGAGGGAACACCAGU